Molecule: unclassified non-coding RNA, 217 nt
Filed under: soil metagenome
Description: partial contains 5.8S ribosomal RNA, internal transcribed spacer 2, and large subunit ribosomal RNA
Source: RNAcentral
AACCUUAUGGACCUGCGGGCGUAUACCUGCGGAAGGAUCAUUACAAGUGACCCCGGUUUACCACCGGGAUGUUCAUAACCCUUUGUUGUCCGACUCUGUUGCCUCCGGGGCGACCCUGCCUUCGGGCGGGGGCUCCGGGUGGACACUUCAAACUCUUGCGUAACUUUGCAGUCUGAGUAAACUUAAUUAAUAAAUUAAAACUUUCAGCAAUGGAUCU